This is a long non-coding RNA of Carcharodon carcharias (great white shark), 2954 nucleotides long. RefSeq lists it as uncharacterized. NCBI's taxonomy places the organism in Eukaryota, Metazoa, Chordata, Chondrichthyes, Lamniformes, Lamnidae. The transcript has 6 exons. The record is from RefSeq and is a predicted model, not a curated record.
ACGAUCUGCGCAGUAACGGUGAACCUUGAGCUGAGAUAAAUGUCAUAAUUGUAAAAGUUUAACAAAGUGCUGGAAAAACUCAGCUGGUCUGGCAGCAUCUGUGGAAACAGAAACAGAGUCCGCAUGACUUCUUCAAAGCUAAAGAGAGCUUGGAGUGGAGGGGCAGCAGGAGUGAAUGCGACUGCACCGGAAGAUGAUGAUAUCAUCCACUGAGGGACAGAGUGGGCAACUGCCCCCGAAAAUGUGGUCUCGGAAACACCAGCUGAGGUUGUUGGGCUAUGAUGCUCAACCUGUCAAAGAAGGCCUCCUGAGAGACUUGACCUGUAAAUUGUUAUUGUGGAAAUAGUUAAUGUGUUUUAAGCUUGUUAGCUGUACUUUUAAGUAAAGGGGGAGGGACGUGGUAAAUUGAGGUACCCUGCCCCUUUAAGAGAAUGCAAGUGUACUGAUCAUGUGACAGCACUGAUGAAUCACUGUACAUCUGGGGGCAACUGUGGGCAACUGAGAACUGGAAGUCUAGUUCUGGAGGUUUCUGAGUGAGCAUAUAUGAUCUGGUGCUGUGCCCUAUGUCUCAAUAAACCAUCGCUGUUUAUUCUUACAUCAGUCUCUCCCUGUUAUUGAUCACAAGCAGCAAUUGAUGAGAACAUAGGAAGGCAUGCAAUUAGAGUUCGGUUAACCAAUUAACUAAUUUAUCCAAGACAUAAAAGUGGCGGUUUUUUGAGGAGAGGGUUGAUAAUAGAACAUUUAAAGGAGAAGGGGACAGCACCUGAAGAGAGAGAACCAUUAACAAUAUCAGUUAACAUGGGGACGAGGCAGGGAGAUUGGAUGAUCAGCAGUGCAGUGGGAAUAGGGUCGAGGAAGCAAGAAGUAGGUCUCAUUUUUACUUACCUGUAACAAAUUCCACGAUUCCUCCUGUUGGAUAAUGGUUUUAUUCUUUUUGGCGCCUGUUUUGAAGAUCUCCCUUCAUUCCCUCCCAUGUAAGACAGAAGUUCCGCCCUACUCGGUUGGCUAUUGUAGCUGCCCCAAUGCUGGUCGCUGAUUGGUCACUUUGAGUUUCAUGUUUAAAAACAAGGCUGGAAGCCAGAGUGCACAUUUCAGUUACUCCAUCAAACAUUAAAGGUGAAGAGAAAAGCAGGUAAGAUAAUUUUGGCGCAAACAAGCCAUCCAGUGGGUGGAGAAGGAGAACUUUUAAAAAGAUCAUAUGGGAGGAAAGGAAUGGUCAAAGUUAACAAUUUCUGAUCUUUGAUUUUUCACAAAUCCAUGCGAUCAGAUUCUAAGAGCCACUGUAAUAGAUUUUAAAAGUUGCUGCCCUCUAAGCAGGGGAGGGGAGAGGGAAAUUGGUUGGCUGAGUGGAGAUAUAGAGGGGUAAAAUGGAGACAUGGUUAUAUUCUUGCAACUCAGGAGAGAAGAGCUCUUUUGGCACUGCUUUCUUAAACCAAUCCAAUCCAUAACUUUAGGAUCCAAGAAUGGCUGGUGCAGCAAAAGUUUGCUUACACUCGAUUCCUGGAUGAUAAGCAAGUCUGCAGGAUUGUGUCCAGUAAAGAGGACAUUAAAAAGUAUGAUCCUGAGACCCACCAUGAGUAUAAGGUCUACAAGGUACGGUGGGUGCCGACAAGUGUUGAUGUUUCAAUUGACUAUGAUUCUGGAAAGAAGAACCGGAUGGGGGAUGAUGUCUUUUAUGAGGCAUAGAUCCUUUUGCUUGGAGCAUCCCGCGAGGGCCUCAAGGAGCAGAUGACGUCCACACUCAUUCAAAUACCAAAGGUUUGGGACACUAGUGUGGAAAGUGACACCAGUACAAAUAAUGUACCCCUCGCAACCCUACAAGCAAAGAGCACUAGAAGAUGCUAUUGCGACCAGGGUAUAUGUGCAGCUCCCAACGCAUUCUUUGUCAUUGUGUUAGCUGAUGUUGUAAUCUCACUGACCUGUAUGAACAACAAUGUGCCUCUAAGCAAAGAGUGCAUGGAACUUGUAUACCAGCUCAUGUCAAAAAUGCCAACAAGCUUGCGAACAUCUCAAUUCUUUUUCCUGAUAGAAGGAUAAGAUUGCCCAAGCAGAGGUGGCCCAAAGCAAGAAGCUGCAAAGCGUGAUGUCCCAAAUUCUAGCAGCCAAGAUUGUUACAGCUAGUGCUUCCAGGGUAGAAACGUAUUUGGAGCAUUGCGUAGAACCUGCCAACAACUGGGAAGAGCUACUAACCGUUCAGAAGCUGCAGGCAGAGAAGGCAGCUCCCUAGCAGAAGCUGGAGGAGUUUUCUGAGAUCAAUCAAGGCCUCCAAGAAAGGUUGCAGAAAGUACCGAAGCUCAACUGCAAGCUCCAGGACCAACCUCUCAACACCUACAUGCAGACCUGGGGACCACAGCAAUCACGUGUGUGGACACAGCAGCCCAUGAUGCCUUUCUGAGCAACAACCCUGCCCAAGCCUGCACAGAUUGAAGCCGCACCCACAUUUAUUCGCACAGUCGGGGAGGCAAGCACACACGCAGAGGUUCAAUUGCAGGGUGGUGUGGAGCUCACUGAGCGGCAGUGAUCUCGUGUAACAACCCAGAGGACAAAUUCCCUAUUUGUUAAGUCCCUGACUAUGGCUGUGUGGGGCUUUGACAUGCUCAGAGGCAGCUCCAUAUAUGGUUGUGUCUGCCCAUGUUUCAUUACAGUGGCACAGAGCAAACAGCUAAGCCCGCGCUCUCACCCAGGAAAAUGAGUGCUGUCAAAGCAUGUUUCACUCAUCAUUUGAAGAAGAGGUUGGGUGAGAAUAAGGUCACAAAGGAGCAAGCAAAGCUGAACAGCUACAUUUCAGAAAAAAUCAUGGAUCUGAACCAGAAAAACAAAUUGGCCUGAAAUGAGUUGGCAUAAUGUUCAUGUGUUUUCCUCCUUAUUCUCCUGGAAUAACGUAAUUGUUGCCCCCUUUCCCAAGACCAUUAUUUAGCACUUUUUUCCAGUGAUCAAUGUUGAAUUUUAAAUUU